Molecule: transfer RNA, 77 nt
Filed under: Caldifarciminota bacterium
Lineage: Bacteria; Pseudomonadati; Caldifarciminota
Description: candidate division WOR-3 bacterium (sediment metagenome) tRNA-Lys
Rfam family: tRNA
About the family: Transfer RNA (tRNA) molecules are approximately 80 nucleotides in length. Their secondary structure includes four short double-helical elements and three loops (D, anti-codon, and T loops).
Source: RNAcentral
GCCCCGCUAGCUCAACCUGGCAGAGCAACGGAUUCUUAAUCCGUGGGUUGCAGGUUCAAUUCCUGCGCGGGGUAUCA